RNAcentral lists this ribosomal RNA (478 nucleotides) under uncultured bacterium. RNAcentral describes it as "partial 16S ribosomal RNA". It matches the Rfam family "Bacterial small subunit ribosomal RNA", at positions 28 to 507 of the family's 1533-position model. The record is from RNAcentral.
GAUGAACGCUGGCGGCGUGCUUAACACAUGCAAGUCGAACGGGAAAUAUUUCAUUGAGCCUUCGGUGGAUUUGAUUUAUUUCUAGUGGCGGACGGGUGAGUAACGCGUGGGUACCAUGCCUUAUACAGGGGGAUAACAGUCAGAAAUGGCUGCUAAUACCGCAUAAGCGCACACAGCUGAACGUCUCAGUGUGAAAAACUCCGGUGGUAUAAGAUGGACCCGCGUUGGAUUAGCUGGUUGGUGGGGUAACGGCCCACCAAGGCGACGAUCCAUAGCCGGCCUGAGAGGGUGAACGGCCACAUUGGGACUGAGACACGGCCCAGACUCCUACGGGAGGCAGCAGUGGGGAAUAUUGCACAAUGGGGGAAACCCUGAUGCAGCGACGCCGCGUGAAGGAAGAAGUAUCUCGGUAUGUAAACUUCUAUCAGCAGGGAAGAUAGUGACGGUACCUGACGAAGAAGCCCCGGCUAACUACGUG